CCCUUAGAUGUCCGGGGCUGCACGCCCGCUACACUGAAGGAAUCAGCGUGCUAAAACCAUUGUCGAAAGGCAUUGGUAAACCCAUUAAAAUCCUACGUGAUUGGGAUCGGGAAUUGCAAUUAUUUCCCUUGAACGAGGAAUUCCCAGUAAGUGUGGGUCAUAAGCUCGCGUUGAUUACGUCCCUGCCCUUUGUACACACCGCCCGUCGCUGCCCGGGACUGAGCCGUUUCGAGAAAAGCGGGGACUGCUGCUGUCGGGGCUUUCGGGCCUUGGCUUCGGUGGAAACCGCUUUAAUCGCAGUGGCUUGAACCGGGCAAAAGUCGUAACA
RNAcentral lists this ribosomal RNA (328 nucleotides) under uncultured eukaryote. Its description in RNAcentral is "partial 18S ribosomal RNA". It matches the Rfam family "Eukaryotic small subunit ribosomal RNA", at positions 1470 to 1796 of the family's 1831-position model. The record is from RNAcentral.